Molecule: long non-coding RNA, 224 nt
Filed under: Nicotiana benthamiana
Lineage: Eukaryota; Viridiplantae; Streptophyta; Magnoliopsida; Solanales; Solanaceae
Description: long non-coding RNA (NBEN_LNC022727)
Source: RNAcentral
UGAGGGGGAAUAUUCAAUUAAGGGGGAAUUAUAUUGAAUUGAUUUCUAUGAAUUGUUUGCAUUAAUUGUAUGUUGAGAUAUAGCAUGAAUUUAGGGGGAAUCCAAUAUGCAUAUCUUCCGUUGUUUUUCAUUAUCAAAAAGGGGGAAAUUGUUGGAAAUCAUGUAUACCUUUGAUAUGUGCGCUUUGGUUGUAUGAGCAUGAUUUUCAGGUAUAGGUUUUGAUG